AAUCAACGCUGGCGGCGUGCCUCAGACAUGCAAGUCGAACGAUUAAAGCUCUCUUCGGAGAGUGCAUAAAGUGGCGCACGGGUGAGUAACACGUAAGUAAUCUACCUUUGAGUGGGGAAUAACAGUCGGAAACGGCUGCUAAUACCGCAUAAUGCAGCGGCACCGCAAGGUGACAGUUGUUAAAGGAGCAAUCCGCUUGAGGAGGAGCUUGCGGCAGAUUAGCUAGUUGGUGAGGUAAUGGCUCACCAAGGCAGUGAUGAGUAGCUGGUCUAAGAGGAUGAUCAGCCACACUGGAACUGAAACACGGUCCAGACUCCUACGGGAGGCAGCAGUGGGGAAUCUUGCGCAAUGGACGAAAGUCUGACGCAGCCACGCCGCGUGAGGGAGGAAAUCCUUCGGGAUGUAAACCUCGCAAGCAAGGGAAGAAUGCUUGAGACCUAACACGUCUCAAGAGGGACGGUACCUUGCGUAA
RNAcentral lists this ribosomal RNA (472 nucleotides) under uncultured bacterium. RNAcentral describes it as "bacterial SSU rRNA". It matches the Rfam family "Bacterial small subunit ribosomal RNA", at positions 32 to 489 of the family's 1533-position model. The record is from RNAcentral.